Molecule: long non-coding RNA, 1828 nt
Filed under: Cyanistes caeruleus (blue tit)
Lineage: Eukaryota; Metazoa; Chordata; Aves; Passeriformes; Paridae
Description: lncRNA (ENSCCEG00000016975.1)
Source: RNAcentral
GGACUAAAGCCCAAAUCAUCAUAGGGAACAACACUCAGUACAUGGGAAUCUCGAUUGUAAUCCUCAAAUUCACACUAGAUUAAGAUCUUUGCUUCUCAGGACACAUUUCUGUACUUUCACUGGAUAUCUGAACCGACAGAUUCUUCCAGAUAACCCAUGUAGAAUCUAAUUUAAGAAUCCCACGGAAUUGCUGUUAAGAAAUUGUUUUUUAGUAUCACAUUCCACAAAACCUUUGCAUCCCCAAAGUGUCUGUUCCUGACAAGGUGCAAAAUCAUCACCAAUUUUACCUUUUACGAACUUGUACCGCUGAUUUUUACCAGUGAAACCUCACUGAAGAUGGAAGCUGUAGAAAACCAAUUAAGAAGGAUGCUUUCCUCCCACCUUAAGUCAGUUGUUUUCCAUCUAUACUCUAUAGACCCCGGGGAGAUUAUCCCCGGGGAUUAUCCCAGGAUUACUUCUAAAGGGCUAUAUGAAAAGUAAUGAAGAAAGGAAGCCAAUUAUCACUAGAUUUAAAUUCACUAUACAGGAUUUUACACAGCGUCGAGUUCAAAAGUUGAAAUGCCUUCCAAAAGUCUUCUAUUGACAGAGUUAAGAGCUAACCGUCUAAACUUUGGACUCGGUCAGUUUAACAGCAUCGGCUGCUCAAACAGCCUUUCACGUUUGAUGCAGGAGCACAGAGGCAGCAGCAACUGCAGCAGGACAGGAUCCCAGAAUCCAUCCGGCUGGAGAAACCCUCUGAGAUCAUCGAGCCCAGCCCAUGCCCCAGCAGCGCCGUGUCACCCACACCGCGGCACUGACACUCCAUUCCGAUGUCUCAUCACCAUUCCUGUGAACAAAUUCCUCCUGGGACGUGCCAGCUCACCGACAGACACGCAGCAUCACACCCCGCGUCGAGCUUUAACUUUUUGGCUACACCCCUACCAACGCCCACUCCACGCUCAAGCACGCACUUCAGGAGCUUUAACACUCCACGCUCGCACUUUUCAAACAUACUUACCACAAAACACUGCCCGACUCGCAAAGGUUUUUUUUUUGUUUAUACACGACUACUACGCACGGGAGCCCCGAAGAGCCCAAAGCAAGCCGGCUGUGUGUGCCUGUUGGGCUCCUCCCUGCUGGCCCGGGCUCUCCGGGCACACAGAGCGUUCCCCGGACACGCAGGCGGUGCCAGCAUCCCCCUCUCAGAGCUGAGCGAGCCGGGAUGCUCGGACGCUGCAGCACAGCUCCUCUCCAGGCAGACAAAUCCGACGAGAACAGAACCUCGGACCCACCGGGAUGCCCGUGUCCCCUGUUCCACUUCUGGCAAUUCCUCCUUUUUUAACCUCUUCUGUCUGAAAAUACACAUUUCUUUGCAGCUGUCCUGGUUUUAGGACAAGCAGUGAUGAGCCACAGGAACACAAGCUUUGAGAUUUGCAUUUUGGAGAAAACAGGUUUCAGAAAACUGAAAGUAGCCAACAUAACCUGUGAAAAUGGGACAGAACAACAUCAAGUAUAAAUGCAUUUGCUGUGCAAUAAUUUAGAACCACAAUAACAUCCCAUUAAAAAUAUUAAUUUUUAAAAAUGAGAUGCCCUGUAUAGCAAGUACUAAUGGAAGCAAUCAAGUUUUAGAACAGAUGAUGUAAGAGAAAGCUAUUUAAAAUAGAAUCUCCACCGCCUCUUUCUCCAUUCAGAGCCCACAGAGGAAGGUGCAAAGCAGUUCUUACAAAGUGACUCAAAACUUCCCAGCCACUAUCAGCGGCUUGCUUCAGACAUAUAUAAAGUUUCCUUUUCUUUGAAAAAGUUUAAAGACACAGUAAGGUUUCAAUAAAUCCCUCCUCCUGUAAUGUCA